UACAUGGGGUGCAAACGUUGUUCGGAUUCACUGGGCGUAAAGGGUGCGUAGGCGGCCGGGUAAGUCUGAUGUGAAAUCCCGCAGCUCAACUGCGGAACUGCAUCGGAUACUCUCCGGCUAGAGGAAUGGAGGGGAGACUGGAAUUCUCGGUGUAGUAGUGAAAUGCGUAGAUAUCGAGAGGAACACCAGUGGCGAAGGCGAGUCUCUGGACAUUUCCUAACGCUGAGGCACGAAAGCCAGGGGAGCAAACGGG
RNAcentral lists this ribosomal RNA (253 nucleotides) under uncultured bacterium. RNAcentral describes it as "partial 16S ribosomal RNA". It matches the Rfam family "Bacterial small subunit ribosomal RNA", at positions 524 to 776 of the family's 1533-position model. The record is from RNAcentral.